RNAcentral lists this ribosomal RNA (253 nucleotides) under uncultured bacterium. Its description in RNAcentral is "partial 16S ribosomal RNA". It matches the Rfam family "Bacterial small subunit ribosomal RNA", at positions 524 to 776 of the family's 1533-position model. The record is from RNAcentral.
GACGAACCGAGCGAACGUUGUCCGGAUUUACUGGGCGUAAAGAGCGCGCAGGCGGUCGUUCAAGUCGCGUGUGAAAGCCCCCGGCUCAACUGGGGAGGGUCACGCGAUACUGAUCGACUCGAAGGCAGGAGAGGGAAGUGGAAUUCCCGGUGUAGUGGUGAAAUGCGUAGAUAUCGGGAGGAACACCAGUGGCGAAGGCGACUUCCUGGCCUGUUCUUGACGCUGAGGCGCGAAAGCUAGGGGAGCAAACGGG